AGAAGUGCAGUGAUCUGCAGUAGGCCUGAAAAGACUCUCUCAUUAGAGGCACUUUGCUCUGUGCAAAACAUCUAUAUUCACAGGAAGAGAAGGCUCAGCUGUGGGGAAAAGACUGCAGCAAAUGAAUGACGUUGGAGCUAGGUGUGAAAUGCGAAGGUACCAAAUUAACUGCAAAGCUCGGCAGUUAUGCAUGGACAGAAUCAGUUCACCAGCGGGACCUCAUGACAAAACUCCGACGCACUGCAGUGCGGCCAACAUUAGCUUCUCAGUGAUUACAUUGGUAUUCUAAUCCUCACCCUGCCCAUACCUGGAGCACUGUGACAAAUAACACACUUGGUCUGCCAGCCGGGAAUGAGUGAUAAUGCUUCUGGAAUCUGCUGCAGGAGACC
Molecule: long non-coding RNA, 389 nt
Organism: Lepisosteus oculatus (spotted gar)
Lineage: Eukaryota; Metazoa; Chordata; Actinopteri; Semionotiformes; Lepisosteidae
Source: RefSeq, a predicted model, not a curated record